UACGGAGGGAGCUAGCGUUGUUCGGAAUUACUGGGCGUAAAGCGCACGUAGGCGGCUUUGUAAGUUAGAGGUGAAAGCCCGGAGCUCAACUCCGGAACUGCCUUUAAAACUGCAUCGCUUGAAUCCAGGAGAGGUGAGUGGAAUUCCGAGUGUAGAGGUGAAAUUCGUAGAUAUUCGGAAGAACACCAGUGGCGAAGGCGGCUCACUGGAGCUGGUAUUGACGCUGAGGUGCGAAAGCGUGGGGAGCA
Molecule: ribosomal RNA, 248 nt
Filed under: uncultured bacterium
Lineage: Bacteria
Description: partial 16S ribosomal RNA
Rfam family: Bacterial small subunit ribosomal RNA
Source: RNAcentral